This is a non-coding RNA of Larimichthys crocea (large yellow croaker), 75 nucleotides long. The record is from Rfam. Lineage: Eukaryota; Metazoa; Chordata; Actinopteri; Sciaenidae.
ACAAGGUGAUGACCUAUGAAUUGACAGCCAAUGAUUGUAACAUCUGCCUGUCAGUUCUGUAGGCCACUGCUGUGU